Panicum hallii is the source of this 748-nucleotide long non-coding RNA. RefSeq lists it as uncharacterized. The transcript is spliced from 3 exons. The record is from RefSeq and is a predicted model, not a curated record. NCBI's taxonomy places the organism in Eukaryota, Viridiplantae, Streptophyta, Magnoliopsida, Poales, Poaceae.
UAUCAGCUUGUAUCUGAGGACUUCGAUUACUCGGAAUUUGCGUGUAAAUGUAAUUGUUUCAGAUAAUUUGUUUGCUUCUUUUGACAUUAUUUUAUUUGAUCUUGAACUAUAGCAGGUUGUCGAAUGAUGAUUCACAUAUGUUACAAAAUGCUGUUAUAAAUUUCGGGAAUAUGAUUGUUGGUGACAUUGCCAUCGAUAUUUCUACUCUUGAACGAGAGAUUAGUUAUUGGACUACUUUCAGAUUCUUGACACCGAAUGAUGGAGUUAGGGAAAGUUUCUCACUUCUAAAUAAACAUAUUUCAGAUCUGAGUAUGCUUACAACCAUACAAGGAUAUCCGCGUACGUUUUAUGAUCAGGAUACUUGCCAACGAUUUUUGGCUGUCUAUGUAAUUGUUCAACAAAUACUCAAAGCAGCUACAGAUUUUGCAAAACAUGCAUCUUUCAAUAAUAAAAAGAUUCAAAGUUUCGCAUCCUUUGGUUACAUCAAGCCAGGGUCUUCAGAUAUUCAUACUGUUCAGGUUAGCGGUGAGGAUCCAAGGGGAAAGGCCACACAAGAUUUUAAAUCUCGCAGCGAUGAAGUAAUGAAGAGGUUGGUCCAUUGGCUUGCCAAACAUCAAACUGUGGAAAGCCUGUUGAAGUUCUCCCAAUUUGAGUUCUCCGAAUUUGAUUUUGAGUAGUGUGCUGAUUCAAGUCUUAUGUUGCCAACGUGUAUACAGCCAUCUAAUGAAUCAGCUUAAUUUCCUUUGUA